UACGUAGGGUGCGAGCGUUGUCCGGAAUUAUUGGGCGUAAAGAGCUUGUAGGCGGUCUGUCGCGUCUGCUGUGAAAAUCCGGGGCUCAACCCCGGACUUGCAGUGGGUACGGGCAGACUAGAGUGUGGUAGGGGAGACUGGAAUUCCUGGUGUAGCGGUGAAAUGCGCAGAUAUCGGGAGGAACACCCGUAGCGAAGGCGGUUCUCUGGGCCGGUACUGACGCUGAGGAGCGAAAGCGUGGGGAGCAAACAGG
Molecule: ribosomal RNA, 253 nt
Filed under: uncultured bacterium
Lineage: Bacteria
Description: partial 16S ribosomal RNA
Rfam family: Bacterial small subunit ribosomal RNA
Source: RNAcentral